AUGAGUAGAAGAAACGGAAGCGGGCCAAAGCUUGAUUUGAAGCUGAACCUAUCACCACCAAGAGUCGAACGAAGAAGAAUGGAUUCAUCACCAACACGAUCAGCUUCGGUGUCGCCGCCGAGUUCUUGUGUGUCAUCAGAGAAUGGACCAAACAGCCCCGAAGCAACCUCGAUGCUACUCGUUGGUUGUCCUCGUUGUCUCAUGUAUGUCAUGCUCUCCGAGAAUGAUCAAAAAUGUCCCAAAUGUGAAAGCACCGUUUUGCUUGAUUUUCUCAACAACAAUAAGAAAAAUUAG
Non-coding RNA from Vicia faba (fava bean), 294 nucleotides. Lineage: Eukaryota; Viridiplantae; Streptophyta; Magnoliopsida; Fabales; Fabaceae. The record is from the annotation of a GenBank genome assembly.